This 253-nucleotide ribosomal RNA is filed under the name uncultured bacterium. Its description in RNAcentral is "partial 16S ribosomal RNA". It matches the Rfam family "Bacterial small subunit ribosomal RNA", at positions 524 to 776 of the family's 1533-position model. The record is from RNAcentral.
UACGUAGGGGGCAAGCGUUGUCCGGAUUUAUUGGGCGUAAAGAGCGUGUAGGCGGCCAUACAGGUCCGUUGUGAAAACUGGAGGCUUAACCUCCAGACGUCGAUGGAAACCGUAUGGCUAGAGUCCGGAAGAGGAGAGUGGAAUUCCUGGUGUAGCGGUGAAAUGCGCAGAUAUCAGGAAGAACACCCGUGGCGAAGGCGGCUCUCUGGGACGGUACUGACGCUGAGACGCGAAAGCGUGGGGAGCGAAUAGG